Molecule: ribosomal RNA, 465 nt
Filed under: uncultured bacterium
Lineage: Bacteria
Description: partial 16S ribosomal RNA
Rfam family: Bacterial small subunit ribosomal RNA
Source: RNAcentral
GACGAACGCUGGCGGCGUGCUUAACACAUGCAAGUCGAACGGAAAGGCCCUGCUUGCAGGGUACUCGCGUGGCGAACGGGUGAGUAACACGUGGGUGAUCUGCCCUGCACUUCGGGAUAAGCCUGGGAAACUGGGUCUAAUACCGGAUAGGAGCCAUUUUGAGUGUGAUGGUUGGAAAGUUUUUUCGGUGUAGGAUGAGCUCGCGGCCUAUCAGCUUGUUGGUGGGGUAAUGGCCUACCAAGGCGGCGACGGGUAGCCGGCCUGAGAGGGUGGACGGCCACAUUGGGACUGAGAUACGGCCCAGACUCCUACGGGAGGCAGAAGUGGGGAAUAUUGCACAAUGGGCGCAAGCCUGAUGCAGCGACGCCGCGUGGGGGAUGACGGCCUUCGGGUUGUAAACUCCUUUCGCUAGGGACGAAGCUUUUUGUGACGGUACCUAGAUAAGAAGCACCGGCUAACUACGUG